GAUCAUGGCUAAGGAUGAACGCUAGCUACAGGCUUAACACAUGCAAGUCGAGGGGCGAGCAUGGUCUUAGCUUGCUAAGGCCGAUGGCGACCGGCGCACGGGUGAGUAACACGUAUCCAACCUGCCGUCUACUCUUGGACAGCCUUCUGAAAGGAAGAUUAAUACAAGAUGGCAUCAUGAGUCCGCAUGUUCACAUGAUUAAAGGUAUUCCGGUAGACGAUGGGG
RNAcentral lists this ribosomal RNA (225 nucleotides) under uncultured bacterium. Its description in RNAcentral is "partial 16S ribosomal RNA". It matches the Rfam family "Bacterial small subunit ribosomal RNA", at positions 15 to 230 of the family's 1533-position model. The record is from RNAcentral.